CCUUUCUCAUACUUCUGGUCUACCUCACUUGUGUUUCUGUAUCAGCUGAAAACAGAGAGGAUCAGCAAAACUGGAACUGUUCAGAACCACACGUUACCUUCUGUGUGCUGUGAGUGGAGCUCUCAGGCUCAUCAGAGGAAGAUCAGAAUGAACUCCACCACCGUGGCCUCACCUUGCUGGCACUGCAGUUUUACAUACUCGGGUUGAAAGUGCAAAGAGGCAACAGGGAGAUGGAGAGCGCUGACUUCACCCUGCAAUGCACAACACAGGGAAGGUGUCAGGUGUUGCACAGAGCUUCAUGGCACAUCUCCAUACCCAGCUCAGAUGUGUGCUUGUGGAUGAGAGUCUCUGGGUUGAACCCUACCUCAGUUAUGGAGGUCCCAGGCUGUCUGGUAGCAGGAAGAUGCCCACAUAGCUCUUGGCAUGAUUUGUCCCCUUGUUUCAUUAUUUUCCUUCCCUACUCUGACCUAUUAUUAACAGACCCACCUUCUACCUAGUGCUUCUGUUUCCCCUGAUAUAUUUGUAAAAGGCCUCUUAUUCUCCUUAAUCCCUUUGGCUAUAAUUAACUCAUUCUGCAUUUUUGCUGCCCUUAUCUUUUCCCUGCAAGCCUUAACUGACUGAAUAUUCUUGUUUGGUUGCCUCCCUGUUUUCCAUUUCUACUAAAGGUUUUCUUUUUAAUCCUUAGAUCUCUGAGUGGGCUUUUGCACGCUCUUAUUUCUUGCCUUCUUUAUUUACUCGUUUUUUCUAUUUUCCUUUAAUUUUUGUGCCACGUAACGACUCCAUCUUCCUCACAGCCAGGUAGAGUUCAGGACAACCUCAGCUGACACCUCAAGUUCUUAAUUCCUUUCAAUGCAUUUUUCUAUUUUUCUUUUUCCUUUGGUACUACACUUCUUUUUUUUUUUUUUUUUUUUUCAAUGUUCAAUUUGCCCCUUCCACUUUGUAGACUCCCAUGUUCCCUUCUUUCAUCCAGUACCUUUUGUCAUACAGAAAAUGUGCAAAGUAAAAAUUGUCUUGUUUUACUUUGUGUAAAGUUUAUUUUUGACCCAGCAGUGCCCCAAAAUUAGAAGAGCUGAAUGUGCUCUAUCAAGCAG
Molecule: long non-coding RNA, 1091 nt
Filed under: Chrysolophus pictus (golden pheasant)
Lineage: Eukaryota; Metazoa; Chordata; Aves; Galliformes; Phasianidae
Description: lncRNA (ENSCPIG00010004062.1)
Source: RNAcentral